AACGAACGCUGGCGGCGCGUCUUAAACAUGCAAGUCGAACGAUCUGUAGCAAUACAGGGAGUGGCGGACGGGUGAGGAACACGUAGGAAUCUACCUUGAAGAGCGGGACAACUUUGGGAAACCGGGGCUAAUACCGCAUAGUACAGAGAUGUUAAAGGGCUAGCAAUAGUCGCUUCGAGAUGAGCCUGCGGUCUAUCAGCUUGUUGGUGAGGUAAUGGCUCACCAAGGCUACGACGGAUAGCCGGUCUGAGAGGAUGAUCGGCCACACUGGCACUGAGACACGGGCCAGACUCCUACGGGAGGCAGCAGUUAAGAAUCUUGCGCAAUGGGGGAAACCCUGACGCAGCGACGCCGCGUGAAGGAUGAAGGCUUUCGGGUUGUAAACUUCGGUAGACUGGGAAGAAGAAAUACGUUCGUUGAGGGCGUAUAGUGACGGUACCAGUCUGAAGCCCCGGCUAAUUACGUGCCAGCAGCC
This 475-nucleotide ribosomal RNA is filed under the name uncultured bacterium. RNAcentral's name for it is "bacterial SSU rRNA". It matches the Rfam family "Bacterial small subunit ribosomal RNA", at positions 29 to 516 of the family's 1533-position model. The record is from RNAcentral.